Long non-coding RNA from Alexandromys fortis (reed vole), 3125 nucleotides. RefSeq lists it as uncharacterized. The record is from RefSeq and is a predicted model, not a curated record. The transcript is spliced from 3 exons. NCBI's taxonomy places the organism in Eukaryota, Metazoa, Chordata, Mammalia, Rodentia, Cricetidae.
UGGGCAGCUCUGUAGGGAAUUUUCUAGAUUGAUGAUUGAUGUGGGCGGACUUAGUCCACUGCAGACAGUGCCACCCCUGAGUAGGUGGGCACCUGGCUUGGUGGCACACGCCUUUAGUCCCAAUACUCCGGAGGCAGAGGUACACGGAUAUCUGUGAGUUCCGGGACAGCCAGAGUUACAUAGACAGACCUUGUCUCAAAACAAAACAAAAACCCCACAACAACUACGAAAAGAAAGCAGGCAGAACAAGCUGUGGGGAGCAAGCAGUAAACCACUUUCUCCACAGCCUUCGCUUCAGCUCCUGCCUCUGGGUUCCUUGCGUUGAGUUCCUGCCCUCGUUUGCCUUCACGACAGACUAGAGACUAUAAACUGAAAUAAGCCUUUCCUCCUCAACUUGGUUUAUCACAGCGAUGAAAAGCAAGCUUAAAAAGGGCUGAACAGCGAAGGAGUGAGCCAGUUAUCAGAAUCUGGAAUGAAAAAGAUCUCUGAGAAGUGUUCUGAGGACUGGUGACCUUUACUGGAGGAACAGAGCAAGCCCAAGGAGGGCGUUGGGGGAUUACUGUGAUUGCAGACUCCAGCAUCCAGCUUCAGGUCCUCACACUUCCGUAGCGUUACCGGAUCCACUAAGCCACUCUUCACAGCUCCAGCACUGUUACUCAGGACUGCAGGCACCGAAUCUGUGGAGUUCACAUCUGACUCCACCAGCAGCAGCCGAGACGCUAACAUGUACUGUGUCAGUGUGAAGCUCUAGCUACAGUUUGGUGCCUUCUCUUAUUCUACUGGCCUAUGCCCCACAGGCCUACAUCUGUGUGGGUAGCAUGUGCUCUUGAGCCAGCCCUACAGCAACAGUUGCAACUCCAGGAAAUCCUGUCUCCUCAGCUGAGGCCAAGGGAGGAGGGAGCAGGGACCCAACUGGCCCAAAGAAACUGCCCCCUUCUAUUUCCCCUCUUCCUGAAAAGACUCUAAUUUCUUAAUAAAUCACAUGUCCUUCAAACUGGAUUAAAUGGCAGUUGCCAGCUGGGGGACACAUAAGGAAGUUUGCGGGUUCCCUGACACCCAUCUCCUGUGUGUUGUUUUCACUGACUGCUUUUGGCAUUUCCCAUUUCUGCUAUCAGCACCCUGGUUUCCUUUGGGAAACUACCCUGCCCCCACUCUCAGCUCAAAGAGUUCCUGUGUCAUUGACACAGCUCUGUCUGCUCCAGCACUAUUGGGAAGACACACUCUUUCCAGGAAGACCGAUGACAUCAAAAUGGAACUCUUGAGAGACAGCUUGUGAGUACGCGAGAAGAGAAGAGUGGUAACUCAGACUGGUGAGGUGGAGCCGGGUCUUGGUGACUGGAUGUGUGCACAUGGACCCAGCCUCCUCCUGGGUCUCACACUGAUGAAAGGGAACAAGCCUGUACACCUCUGGGUUUUAUUUGAUGUACUUCACCCAUUAAAGAGGAACUUUAGGAUUGAUGGUCAAAGAAAUUCUAAUUAGGGGCUAGGAUGUAGCUCAGUUGGGGCUGGAGAGAUAGCUCAGUGGUUAAAGGCACCUCUUCCAAAGGUUCUGAGUUCAAUUCCCAGCAACCACAUGGUGGCUCACAACCAUCUGAAAUGAAAUUUGGUUCCAUCUUGAGGAAGAGACCUGGUCAGUCGUCCUCAUCAACUUAGAACACGAAACCCAAUAUGGACAGGUUCAACAGAAGCGCCAUAUUUGGGCUGCCCAUGCCUGCUUCAGCAUUGCCAGGACACAUUUCAUUGUAAAUCUCAUGGAGCUCAGUUGGUGGAAUGCUUGCCUAGCUAGAAUUUAGGAGGCCAUGUGUUCAAUCCUUAGCACUACAGAGAAUCAGCACUGGGGAAGUAGAGGCAGGGUAAAAGUCCAAAGUCAUCCUCAGCUACAUGGUGAGUCUGAGGCCAGCCUGGGCUUACAUGAUACCCUGUAACAACAACAGCAGAAUCCCAAUUAGUUCACCUUCUGCAAAAUCAUUCUUACCCAAUCAGAAGGUGAACUUCACGGUUGCACCUUCCCUGGCGCUAAGGUAACGCUGCAAGGCCUUCUGCAUUUGAAGGGCACUUCACAGGGGAGAAGAGGAGGGUACAUAUUUGCUUCUAUGUUUAGGAUCAUGACUGAAAGUCAAACUCAGCUGAGAAUUGAAUUUCCCAGGUGGGGUUGGUGGCAUAAACCUACGACUCAGCACUUGGAAGUGGAGACAGGAGGAUCAGGCUUCCCAUCAAAAUUCUUGGGCAAGACGCUCAUGUGAAAGAAUCUGGAGUCUAUCCCUGACGCUGGGUGUGGGAACUGCCUACUUAUGUCUUCCCUAAAGGCUUGAUAGAAGUCAUUAUAUACGAACAUAUUUAUCUGAUUUUUAAAUCAUUGAACAUGGCGAGGAUGUGAUACUAUAAAAAUUAUUUAUGGACCCCAAAGCGGGGAAACUGUCGUCUUUUAGCGUGACUGAGGUCUAAUUGAGAAACAGGAAUUAUAUAUUGUCAAGGCGUGUGUUCUAGUUUGUUUUCUGUUACUUGUGAUAAAACCACAAGCUGACCCAAACCAGCUUGUGGAGGAAAGGGUUUAUUUCCUCUUACAGUCUGUAGUCCAUCAUGAAGGGGAGUUAGGGCAGGAACUCAAGGCAGGAACUGGAGGCAGGAACCGAAGCAGAGGCCAAAGAGGGGUAUUGUUUUCUGGCUUGCUUCCUAUGGCCUCCCAGCUUCCUUUUCACACAGCCUGACUACCCAAGGGUGGAACUGCCUACAAUGGGCAGGGCCCUCAUAUCAAUUAUUAAUCAAGAAAAUGCUCUGAGGACCUGUCCACAAGACCAUUUGAUAAACUCAUUUCCUUAAUUGAGGUUGAUCCUUUCUAGAUGACCCUAGCUUGUGUCAAAUUGGCAAAAUACAAAAGCAAAAACCAACCAAAAUAGCUACAAUGUGAUGUUUUUAUGUAUGUGUGCAUUGUAAAGUGUUUACUAUACUCAAACCAAUUAGCUCACCUACCACAUACUUAGUUACUUAAAUUCGCUCUAAAACAAACAAAAAUUCUUGCUCUGCAUUGUAUUUCUAGAGAAUAAAACAGAUGGCUAACUGGCAAAUCAUACCUUAACCGGAGACUGCCAGUUCUCAGAUUCUUUUCUUCUUUAGAUUUACCUUUA